AGGACGAACGCUGGCGGCGUGCUUAACACAUGCAAGUCGAGCGGAAAGGCCCUUCGGGGUACUCGAGCGGCGAACGGGUGAGUAACACGUGAGCAAUCUGCCCCUAGCUCUGGGAUAGCUCCGGGAAACCGGAAUUAAUACCUGAUACGACCACGGCUGACAUCGGCCAUGGUGGAAAGCUUUUGCGGCUAGGGAUGAGCUCGCGGCCUAUCAGCUUGUUGGUGGGGUAACGGCCUACCAAGGCGACGACGGGUAGCCGGCCUGAGAGGGCGACCGGCCACACUGGGACUGAGACACGGCCCAGACUCCUACGGGAGGCAGCAGUGGGGGAAUAUUGCGCAAUGGGCGAAAGCCUGACGCAGCGACGCCGCGUGCGGGAUGAAGGCCUUCGGGUUGUAACCGCUUUCAGCAGGGACGAAGCGAAGUGACGGUACCUGCAGAAGAAGCGCCGGCUAACUACGUGCCAGCAGCCGC
This 474-nucleotide ribosomal RNA is filed under the name uncultured bacterium. RNAcentral's name for it is "SSU rRNA". It matches the Rfam family "Bacterial small subunit ribosomal RNA", at positions 26 to 518 of the family's 1533-position model. The record is from RNAcentral.